Molecule: ribosomal RNA, 1264 nt
Filed under: metagenome
Description: bacterial LSU rRNA
Rfam family: Bacterial large subunit ribosomal RNA
Source: RNAcentral
UAUCCCAAGGCGCGUGAGAGAACCCUGGUUAAGGAACUCUGCAAAUUGACACCGUAACUUCGGGAGAAGGUGUGCCGCUGGCGGCUAGUGACUUCGCGUCACGAAGCUGUUGGUGGUCGCAGUGAAAUGGCGGUUGUGACUGUUUACUAAAAACACAGGACUCUGCGAAGUCGUAAGACGACGUAUAGGGUCUGAUGCCUGCCCGGUGCUGGAAGGUUAAGGGGAUAUGUCAGAGCAAUCGAAGCAUUGAACCGAAGCCCCAGUAAACGGCGGCCGUAACUAUAACGGUCCUAAGGUAGCGAAAUUCCUUGUCGGGUAAGUUCCGACCUGCACGAGGGCAUAACAACAUCCGCACUGUCUCGACCAGGGACUCAGCGAAAUUACAUUGGGGGUGAAGAUGCCCUCUACCCGCGGAAAGACGGAAAGACCCCAUGAACCUUUACUGCAACUUGGCAGUGAUUUUCGGGUUGUUCUGCGUAGGAUAGGUGGGAGGCUUUGAAGUCGGGCUUCCGGGUUCGACAGAGCCAACGUUGAAAUACCACCCUGAAUAAUCUGGAAAUCUAACCUGCGCCCAUGAUCUGGGCGAGGGACACUGCCUGGUGGGCAGUUUGACUGGGGCGGUCGCCUCCUAAAUUGUAACGGAGGCGUGCGACGGUUCCCUCAGGCUGAUUGGAAACCAGCCGUAGAGUGCAAACGCAUAAGGGAGCUUUACUGCGAGACUGACAAGUCGAACAGUUGCGAAAGCAGGUGUUAGUGAUCCGGUGGUACCACAUGGAAGGGCCAUCGCUCAUCGGAUAAAAGGUACUCUGGGGAUAACAGGCUGAUCGCGCCUGAGAGUUCACAUCGGCGGCGCGGUUUGGCACCUCGAUGUCGGCUCAUCGCAUCCUGGGGCUGGAGCAGGUCCCAAGGGUUUGGCUGUUCGCCAAUUAAAGCGGUACGCGAGCUGGGUUUAAAACGUCGUGAGACAGUUUGGUCCCUAUCUUCCGUGGGCGCAGGACACUUGAGAGGAGCUAUCCAUAGUACGAGAGGACCUGGAUGGACGAACCUCUGGUGCUCCGGUUGUCACGCCAGUGGCAUAGCCGGGUAGCCAUGUUCGGAACAGAUAACCGCUGAAGGCAUAUAAGCGGGAAGCUGGCCUCAAGACUAGGUGUCCCUGACGCAAGUCACUAAAGGCCCCUCGAAGACUACGAGGUUGAUAGGCUAGGUGUGGAAGCACAGCGAUGUGCGGAGCUAACUAGUACUAAUAGGCCGUGCGACUUGACCU